CACGUAGGGCGCGAGCGUUGUCCGGAAUUAUUGGGCGUAAAGAGCUCGUAGGCGGUCUGUCGCGUCUGCUGUGAAAACUCAGGGCUUAACCCUGAGCUUGCAGUGGGUACGGGCAGACUAGAGUGCGGUAGGGGAGACUGGAAUUCCUGGUGUAGCGGUGAAAUGCGCAGAUAUCAGGAGGAACACCGGUGGCGAAGGCGGGUCUCUGGGCCGAUACUGACGCUGAGGAGCGAAAGCGUGGGGAGCGAACAGG
RNAcentral lists this ribosomal RNA (253 nucleotides) under uncultured bacterium. RNAcentral describes it as "partial 16S ribosomal RNA". It matches the Rfam family "Bacterial small subunit ribosomal RNA", at positions 524 to 776 of the family's 1533-position model. The record is from RNAcentral.